UCUUUCCUCCACCCUCGUGCCUAAUACAUGCAAGUCGAGCGAAGAGAGGAGGAACUUUCUCCUCUGACGUUAGCGCCGGGCGGGGGAGUCACACGUGGAUAACCUAUCUCUUAGGCUGAGAUAACUGCGGGAAACCGGAGCCAAGACCGGACACUAUAUUGAACCACAUGGUUCGAUUGUGUAUGUAGGCUUUGCUGUCACUGAUAGAUGGCACCGCGACGCAUUGGCUAGUUGGUAAGGGACAGGCUUACCAGGGCAACGGUGCGCAGUCGACCUGAGAGGGUGACCGGCCACAGUGGAACUGAGAGACGGUGCAGGCUCCUACGGGAGGCAGCAGUAGGGAAUCUUCCGCGCUGGGCGAAAGCCUGCUGGAGCACCGCCGCGUGGGUGGUGGAGGUCUUCGGAUCGUGAAACUCUGUUAUUGGGGAAGAACAGAUGUGUAAGUAACGAUGCACGUUUUGACGGGACCUAAUAAGAAAGCAACGGCUAGCUACGUG
RNAcentral lists this ribosomal RNA (497 nucleotides) under uncultured bacterium. RNAcentral's name for it is "partial 16S ribosomal RNA". It matches the Rfam family "Bacterial small subunit ribosomal RNA", at positions 36 to 507 of the family's 1533-position model. The record is from RNAcentral.